UUCAUACCAUCCCUCUCCUCUUCUCCAGGCCUCACUCUCUUUCUCUCCGUCUGCCGCAGUCAUCUUCGGCGUAGCGUCGCCGGUUCCGGCCGCCGCACGCCAUAAGAUCACCACCAAAACGUCCAUUUUUCCCUCCUCUACCUCCUCAUACUCACCAGGUCGACAUGUAUCCACUCCCGAAGGAGAUCAAAGCCGAGGUAGCACGGCGGAGUUCGCCGAUUUCAGGCGAGCUUGGGCAACGACAGCAACUUCGGUGAGUAGGGUUUCUUUCCUCUUCUCUUCUUCUUCAAUUUCAUGUCUUUAAUCUUUGGAUUGGAGCCCUAAUGUGAAAAUCCCCUUUUCUGCCAUUUUUCUAGGUUUGUCGAGGUCAUUUUCCGGUGAGACUUCCGGCGAGACCAGACGAGGACACACGGGUCGAUGACGCCGACGUCGUCGACGGCGACUCCCGGGUCUGUGCUGGGAUUUGCUGGAUCGGUGGUGGGAUUUGCUAGAUUUGUGUUGGGAUUUGGGGCAGAGGCCGAUGCGGCUGCGAUGUCAAAUUUUUUUUUUUUUUUCAGACUUAGCGACGGAAUCCAAUAAUUCCGUCGCCUAGGGGAAAAAUAAUUUUUUUUGUCAUUAAACAAUAUCCGUUGCCUAAGUUCUUAGGAGACGGAAAAAUUACGUCGCCUAAGUACUUAGGAGACGGAAAAAAUUCCGUUGCCUAAGUAAUUCUUAGUCGACGGAACUCAAUUUUUCGUCGCCCUAACACCUACCUCACAUCACUUAGGCGACGGAUCUUAAGCGACAGAUAUUUCGUCGCCUAAGUACUUAGGAGAUGAAUUUUGUUCUUAGGAGACGAAUUUUGUUACUUAGGAGACGAAAUUAUUCCGUCUCCUAAGUGACUUUUUCCAGUAGUGUACUAUGUUGGUUAUGGGUUGUGAGAUGUGGUAAAGGGAUUAAAUUAGCCGCAGAUGUUGGACUUCGUAUCGAUGAAGGGCAGAGAACCUGUUGAGUCGAGAAGUAGCCAGGUAGAUAAACAUGAUUUGGGUGUUGAGAGCAGAUUUGGGAGUUGCUAUAAAUUCAUUGAUUGGUAGGUGAGUAGCUUCUGGAAGGGUGCGUCUAUUGCCACCCCACAAACCACUUUGUUCACCCCAUAUUUUCUUCACACCCUACUUAUAUAUUUUCAAUUAUAAGUCUAUUUUGUUCACCCAUUUUAAUACAUAAAACACCCUUUUCC
RNAcentral lists this long non-coding RNA (1216 nucleotides) under Fragaria vesca (wild strawberry). Its description in RNAcentral is "long non-coding RNA (FVES_LNC000522)". The record is from RNAcentral. Lineage: Eukaryota; Viridiplantae; Streptophyta; Magnoliopsida; Rosales; Rosaceae.